Molecule: long non-coding RNA, 7870 nt
Organism: Equus asinus (donkey)
Lineage: Eukaryota; Metazoa; Chordata; Mammalia; Perissodactyla; Equidae
Source: Ensembl
GCUGUGCGAUGUUCGCCCUCAGCGUCGUGGAAAAAAAGGCAAACGAGAGGGGAUGUACUCUUUAACGUUGCUUUAUAACCAAGUUUCCCAUCCUUCUCUCUUCUAUCCCUCUUCUCUGUCUCCAAUGCCUCUUUUCUUUGGGCUUCAGGAGCCCAAAUACCCCGGGACUCGUCUCCUGGGCAACGUUACCGCUUCGUUACCGCGCGACCACAAGCGGAGUGUGCUCGGAGCCUUCUGGGAAAUGUAGUUCGGCCACCCCGGGGCCCCGGCCCAGACUAAUGGCUCUGCCUCCUCGGGCCCCAGAACCAACGGCUGGAUGUGCGGUCACGUGACCGGCCCGUCUGGAAGCCGGGGGAGUGGGGGCUGUUCUGCGCAAGGCCACCGGCAGGCCCAGGCCGCGGACGGUCGCAGAGCCGGCGCCGGCCCGUCUCCGUGGUAACCGGCUCGCCGCAGAGGCCUCUGGGAAUUCUAGUUGGGCGGGGUGGGGCCCGCGCCGCUGCCGUUAGCGCUCGCCGCCGCGGUGAGAGCGGGCGCGGUAGCCGCAGCCCGGCCCGGCCUUUGGCGGCGAGGGUUCCCAGCGUCCGGGGCGGGCUCCUCCGCGGUACCGCAGCCACCGAGCAUCCAGGCAGAAAGUUUUUGAAAUAUAAAGAAGCAUUUCUCUGAAAUUUAACCCUCCCACAGUACAAGUGACCUUCCUUGGGGACUUUUCCAGCCAAGAAUGAUCACAGCCGCGAGGGGGUCUGUAUCCUUGGACCCCCAGGCCCCUCAAAAGCAGGACAGAAUUGUGGUGGUGAAGGUGGAGGCAGAGGGCCACUUUAUCCUCGCAGCCGGGAGCUGGCCCACUCGCGCUUCAGACGGUUCUACCACCAGGAGACCAGGAGAUUUGCCACCCGGUGAGGUUCUGCGAUGUCCCCAUGAGCUCUGCCACCAGGGGCUGAGGCUGGAGAGACAUCGCAAGCUGCCCAUCCUGGAGCUGCUGAUGCUGGAGCAGUUCCUGGCCAUCCUGCCCCCGGGGCUGCAGAGCUGGGGCUGGGAGCGCCCCUGGGCCGUGGAGAGGAGCUGGCUGUGACGGACCGGAAGUUUCCUGGGGGCAGAGGGCACCUCCACCAGCGGCACAAGAACCACCACACGUCGCCAGCUUCAGCCAGUGAGACCCAGUUCAAACGCGGAUCUUGGGAGCUCCACCCCCUCCAAGCCAGUGACUUAAAGGAAGCUCUCUGAGGAAGAACCGCGUCUUGUCCUUCAUAUGUCUGCGGCCGCUCUGAGCCUGAGAGACUCAGGACGGUCUGUGGCUUGGCCACUGUGUGCGGCUGCGGACCCUGCGAUUGAAGCAGACAGAUCUGUGGUUCAGGGCAGUCGUGGAUGGAGAUGCAGACGUAGUCUGCCUUCCCUGGACGGUUGUCGGUCCUUCUCUUCCAGGACACACGGAAGGAAGGUGAUCUUGUCCCUCCCGCCACCCCUUCCCCCGCCCCCCAGGCCGGUUGGCCAUGUUGGCCCUGAUACUCAAGGUUCUGGAUGCGUGGUCCCCCUGCCUCAGCUCUGCCUGGAGACGUUGCCAGCCCCCACGCUCUGUGCUAAUCCUGGGCGUGACCUUGGGGUGGAGGAGGCAGGGAGCAAGCAAGAAAGCAGUAUUGUUGCAGGGCCGUGUGGUUAAGUAUGGCUGGUUCAGAGAGCACCUUCAAUGUCAACUUGGCGCUCUUUGAGGGCACAGCCUAUGCCUGAGGCGUCUAUGUCCGCAUGCCUGGCUCAGCACCAGCACGUAGUAGGUACUCAUCUGGGGUGGAGCAGGAGUAUGCUUCUGUAGUCACCAGCAACCACGGGGGUCACGAGGGAGCGAAGAGAACAGAUGUUAGUGACUGGCCUGAAGUCCCGCCUGUGCCUCCCCGGCCCCUGAGGGGGACAGCAUCCCCUCGGACUAUGGUGAAGUUCUGGGGUCCAAGCAAAAACGCAGAAAAGGCCCCUUGUCUUUUGUUAGCUGCAAAAUCUCCAUCUCCCCUCAAAAAAGGGGACCGAUUCUGUGUAUGCAUUCAGUUUUCCGUAGCCUUGGAGCUCUCUAACUGUCUUUAAAAGCUAAUAGGUUAGAAAUGUUCUCGGUGGGAUGGUGAGAGCUGGUCCCUAAAGUUGGCAGUCCCCAUCAGAACUGCAUUUCCUAGGAACCCAGGGCUGCUUCUCAACAGCUGACCCUUGAACCUGGUGCAGUCAGGAGCGGGUCACUGAGCCUCAGGGAAGGAGAGUGAGGUGGGGCCCUUGCUGGCGGCCUCUUCGUCUGCUUUCCACAGGCCUCGGAGCUCACCCCGUCGUCUCUGGGCAGGAGGACAGCUGGUCCCCGGGUUUUUGUGCCCCGGCCUUGGUGGACCAUGGCUGGGAUGUCAUUUAUGGUGGGUCUCCAGAAUACCCUCUCAAAGCGCUCUCCUAAGACCAAAUUGAAUAGAAAUUAUGGAAACGGGUAGAGGAGAUCGAAAUGGAUCACCAAUUGGAGACUGUCGGGAGCAGGGGCCUGGAGGGACGGGUGGCUCUGAGCUCAGCGCCCCUAGGGAACUGGUGAAGGCUGCUCCUCAGAAGCUGUUCCAAAGGCUUCUGGGAAACUUGCUCGAGAAACUAGGUCAAGAAGGAAAGCCGUAAAGUGCUUCACGGUGUGUAAAUACACCCCCAAUCCCAUUGCCCCAUGCAGAGGACACCAGUAGAGUCCCCGUCCUGACCAGCCCAGCCAGCCUCUGUGCGCUGGCAAGCUGCUCUGCUCCCUGGGCCUCUGGCCCCGCUCACCGAGAGGCUAACACUGACCAGUGCAGCAACUAGGGGGCGUGUAGUGCUGGCUCUGCCGCGUGCUCCCGGAGCAGUAUCUCAUUUCAUCCUCCCAACAGCCCUGUGACAUGGGAGGUUUCUCUCCUCGUGGUACAAAUGAGAAGGUAAGACUCAGAGAGGUUAAAUAACUUGCCCAAGGUCAUGCAGCUAACAAGUCGAGGGGCAAGCAUUCAAGUCCAGGUCUGACCCCCCAACGCCUUUCAAAGUCCUAGUUUGCCCGUGGCAGGACUUGUAAUUCCGUGCACCGGACUAACCAGUCCACUUUCCAUCCUAUGAACUGGCCAUAGUGAAAUGGUCCUGCUUCCACACUCUCUUCUUCAGCCUGUCAGGGCCGCAGAUGGUUUCUCAGAGGCCAGGAGCGGUCAGGACGGGGCGCUCCCAUCCCUAUUAAAGCCGUGUUCAUGAGGAACGUCAGGCUUUCUGCCGGCAGCCCCUGGAAUUUCUGCUGUGGGAAUUCGGGAGAUCCUCGAGUCAUGGCCCGCUCAAGAAUCGGUGGUUGUGUCUCAAUUCUGUAAGUCAGGUAUUCGGGCAGAGCAAGGCAGGAACAAUUUAGUUCUGCUCCGCCCUGUCUGAGCCUCAGCUGGAGUGGCCCCACUGACUGUAUUUGACUGGGGCGGUUUGACUGGCCAUAGGUCAGAGGCCUUGCUUCUGUCUGCCAGCUGGAUUCCUCCCCAGUUGUCCAUGAGGUGGUCACUGAAGUGGGGCUGAAAUGUCCAAAAUAGCUUUUGCUUUCAUGUCUCUGCUGCCUCUGCGUGCUCCCGUGAAGCCCCUCUCCACAGAGUAGCCUAAUCUUACAUUGUUGCUCUGGGCUCCACAAACCCCCUAUCCAUGCUCUUCUCUCCUCUCCUCUGCACCUGUCCCAGCCCACAGCCCGUGUGUGGGGAGCUGUCUCGUUCAGCCGCCGUGGCCAUGGCUGUGUUGUACCACGCGACCCUGCUCUUUGCCCCUUCCCCCCCACCCCCACACCAGUCAUUGGACCAGGAUCCGUUACAGGCUGGCCAACGAUUUUGGAAGUCACCUGACUCGAAAAUACAAGGAAAAGCCAGUCAGACCAGCCAGAGUCCCCUUUUGGGAAGUUUGAAUCAAAAAAUCAGAGAGGAUAGGCAGUGUGUGACAAGAUGUCACGAGGGCAAGUAGGGCCUGGCUGGACCAGUGUGCUGGCCAGGAUUAAAAGAAGAUUAAAUGAAGAAGAAAGUUAGAGGUUGAAGAAAAACAAAAACAAGCUCUGACUUGGAGAGGAUACCCUUACCGGGGAGGGACCAGUGAGCCUGAUUUUGGCAAGAGGAUAGAGGAGGGAAUGACGAGGGCAGAGCUGGGACUCUGUGAGAGGCAGAGAGGGCAGUCCGCCCGGGAGGCACCCUUGUGCCCCACAGCUCACUAGGUCCAGCCUCGCCUGUGUGUGUCAUUGCAGCAGGCUCUUUACUUUGGUGUCAGUUGGCUUGCUGGUGGGCAUGUGACUUCAUUCUGCCAAUAAAACUUAUGAAGGAAUAGCUGGGGGACCUUCUAGUAAGAAUUUUGCUUUUUGAUUAAAAGAGAGAGAGUGAAGAGGCCUGUCCGUUCUUCCUGCUUUGAACGUGGAUGUUUAAGGGCAUGAUACUUGGAGCUGCAGCAGCCAUUUUGAGACCAGGAGGCAACAAGACCAAGGGAAAAACCAACAUACCGAGGUUGUCUGAGCAGACAGACAAAAAGAGCCUGGGUCCUUGAUGGUAUUGUUGAGCCACUCCACCUGUCCUGGAACCCCUAUUUCCAUUCUUAUUGAUAUAUUCGUUAAAUGUCUUUAUUUUGCAAGCAGAUUUCUGCUACAUGCAGCCUAAGGCAGUCUUAACCAGUACAGCACUCCUCUGACCUCUUCAUCCUCUAACUCUGAACAACUCCUUCGAGCCCCGUGGUUCUUGGUGUAGCUCCAAAUAGAAAGUCAGCCCAAGUUCAGACUUUGGAAAUCUUACUCAUAUGGUAGGAAAUAAAAGUCAAGAUUGCUCACAGCCAACAGAGCAAUUCUGGCACUUAGCCCUGACCCAUGGCCCCUACAGGACACAGACAAGGAAAGAAAGGUAGGUUAAGGAAAGUUCUAGAUGCAUGAGUCUUCUAAAAUGGGGCUUCAUGAUGAACUUUAGGAAGAAGAUCAGUUUGUGUAUUGGGCUCAAGGAUUCAUGUCUGAGAUGCAGAACGUAAGUACAGGCCAGAAAGCCAUGGAAAGCAUGCGGAAGGAGCCGCAGUGGCUGCCUGGAAUGGGCAGGUGGUGGGCGGGUUGGAUGACUCGUGCAGAAGGAGGCCAGUGAGCACAGCAGGAGUUUAUGAGCUCCAAGUACCAGCUGGAAGGAGUUUAUGGCAGCUAGAGUGAAACCGGUGGAAAAUGAGGCCUUUUAGUUACUCCCCAGCCAGCCUGAGUGACACUGUAGAUCCUUUUAGGAAUGAGGUGCCCUGAAUUGUGGCCGUCCUGUGUGUGGGCACGCCCAUGCUCUUCGUUCUUUGUCUCUCUUCCACCACCCCCUUUUUUUUCUGCCAUUUCUUCCUGUCUUCUCCAAGCAAAGCCAGGAGCCAGGAUCCCUUCUACCUCAAUGGGAGAGUGGAUGUCGCGGGAGGCAAGGAUGUCUUGGGAAGACUGAAUCCUAGCCUGGGCAUGGCGGUUAGGUUGGGGGAGAGAAUGCAGUCGGUUGACAAGGAGCAGAGGAAGCUUUCUUCUGACCCACCUUUCAUCAGGCAGUGUGGUUUUUGUGUUUCUUCAGCACAAAAAAAUGUACCUGAUCCUUCCCUCAUGAAAUGAGAAGUUGAACUCAAGAAUGCUAGCCCUCCCUCUUUCAGUUUCUAGCUUUAGAUACGUACCAGAGAUAAACUGGCAUCCUCCUCAGGUACCCCACAAAGACAGAUUACUCCAUUCCCUUCAGAACUCUGGAAAAGUCACCCACCCGGUUCCCAUCUCGAGAUAAUCUUCAGCGGUAUAGAGAUGGGGCCCGUAGAAGUUCAUCACAUUAAUGGGGCCCAAACAUGGAUGUGUUGCGAUGAUAUUAGAAUUUGCUGCCUCAGAUUCUGCCACUAAGCCUCAGGCCUCAGCACAGUCCUUAUGCGUACCUUAUGGAUACAGAGCCCGCGUGUCUUCUGGAGUCCUGCCCCAGAGGUCAAGACCAGGCCAACCCUUUUACCUACUACAUUACUUAAUUCAUUCAGCAGAAAUGUACUGAAUGAAUACCUAGUAGAAGUAAAAGUUAAGCUUAUCAAAGCAGUGAUAAUAUUAGGAAGAUAAGUCAUUAAAGACCAAAAAAAUCCCGUGAGAUAAUCAGAGAAAGGAACGAACGCUUUGGUUGGGAUGGAGAAAGCAAAAAGUUGAAAUCCUUAGUUUGAUAGGAUUGAUGCUUUAAUGUGGAACUUAAUAAGCCCUAAGCCCCCCGUAAAGUUUCCCCCUAUAUCACUAAGGAUUCUCUGAAAUCCAGCAAGGAAGAAACUGAAGGCUUUUCCUCAUUCUUGACAAGCAAGCUUUUUCUCCAGUGUGAAUUAGCCUGAUUACUGACUAAAUAAUCGCCCGCAAUCUUGACAACACGAGAGUCUUUCUUUCCUGAGUCCUCCCAUGAUGAGAAAGAGCUACACCAGCCCCACGUGAUUUUCCACAGUGAUUAUGCUCCCAGGCUUCUCUCCAGGCUGGAUGACCCUCCACACUUCCUCUAGAUGAUUCUCCAGCUUCAUCACAAAUGACCGGCUGAGUCCGGAGCAAAUUAGCUGACGUUGUCUGCGGGUGGGACGCUGACUGAAGGUUCCUUCUCACCCAUUGUGCUCACAGGGCUCCUCUCUGCUCUGAAAUCCCAGAUGUCUAAUUAGCUCUGAGCACUGUCUGAAAGCAUUUUUACAUCCAUUACGUGCAUAUGGUUUUUCUCCAGUGUGAAUUCUCUGACGUUGAAUGAGCUUUACUUUGCUGAAAGCCCUCACAUUUAUUGCAUUUGUAGAGUUCCUAUUGCAUGUGAAUUAGCUGCUGCCAUGUGGUGCUGGGAUGCUGGCAGAUGCCUCCCGCAAACGGGGAUUCUCUCCGAGAUGAAUGCUACAAUGUUCAGUAGGAUGGGAGCCCCGAGGAAAGCUGCCUGUAUUCAUAACAAAGAUGUUCUCUCCGAUAUGAAUACUGUAAUACUGAAUAAAUUCUCAAUUCUAAGAUUUGGCCACACUUAUCUUAUUUUUGGGUUUUCUCACUUCUAAAGAAUGUCAAUAGAAUCGCAAAUUUUUCCCCUAUUCAUCACAUUUGUGAGAUGGGGUCCCUAAUGGUUCUCUAGGAUGUCUCCAUAUUCACAGACGUCUCCAAACUCAGGGACCCGGUCAGCAUCCCACGGGGACCUUCUCCUUGUGUCCACCUAUGAUUCUACUGUUGCAGAAAGUUCCUGCUCGGGUCAGCUUGUUCUUGGUCCCAGUCUCACAAUAUGAAAUUACAGAGAACGUAAAUAUCAACCAUUCUCUUUUAAAGGACAAGAAAAUUUAUUGGACUAAGAAUGAAAGUUUUGGGGAGAAGAUUUAAAGAUAAGAGUGACUUUGGGCAAACAUAAAAUGAUGAGUGUGACAGACUGCUGGUUACUUAUAUUCGCUUUUUCUUUCUUAACCCAAUUUUGGUUGUAGUGAUGUGGAUCAAGGCUGCCCCAGGUAGAGAAGCCCAAGGUGACCUGGAUCUGUAUGACCCCAUGGAUUUUAUGGUGUGAAUUAGGGCUGCCCCAGGGAGAGAAGCCCAGGGCAUGCUGGCUUACAUGCCGAUCUAUUUGACCAGAUUCAUAUCUAAAGUUAUACGACCACACAAUAACCAGACCCCAUCUGCACUGAAACCAUUUAAUGACUUUUUACACCAUUUUUUCUUUUUCCAGUAAAAAUAAGUCACGUACCCAUGCCUUAGAAAUUUAGCCCUAACCCUCAACACAUUGCAGCAGCAGCUCUGACUGCCCAUGGGUCCUGUUCCCAUGCCAGCGGCAGCAGGAGCUCCUCUUGCCCGUGGGUCCUGUCCCCAUGCAGCAGCUCUUUACUGCCCAUGGGUCCUGUCCCCAUGCUAUUCCAUACUAUUCUCUAAAUAAAAGAGCACUACUGCCAGACCUUGAGUGUCCAAGAA